CAAUCCCUGCGUGACUGGCGAUAGGGUUCCCGAAUGGCAACGGCUGUAAUAAUUGCCCUUCAAGCUGCUUGUGCUGGACGCAGCGUCUGGUGCAGCGCGGCUCAAACGGGGGCUCAAGGUGGAACGACCCACCGUGAAGCGCAGGGUGCCGUUUUGCCGUUCGCCUGGGCAGCCAGA
This 177-nucleotide non-coding RNA is filed under the name Paraburkholderia sacchari. RNAcentral describes it as "Burkholderia sacchari ZTP sequence". It matches the Rfam family "ZMP/ZTP riboswitch aptamer (pfl RNA motif)". Rfam says of the family: Previously known as pfl RNA. ZMP is also known as AICAR. The record is from Rfam by way of RNAcentral. Lineage: Bacteria; Pseudomonadati; Pseudomonadota; Betaproteobacteria; Burkholderiales; Burkholderiaceae.